UAUCCUUAUCAUUUACAGUAGGGGGUACAGUAUCCCUUAUAAUACAUGAGUGAUACAUAAUUCCAGGAGAUUUGUGAGAGCAUAGGAAGGGAGAGGCCGACACAGAAUGAAGGAUGAAUGACACAGAUCUGUACAAAUGAUUUGCGUUUAUUUUCUCUUUCAUUUACAGUCAAGUUUUCUUUUUAUGUUUAUAAACAAAACGUUCAGAUUGAGCUCAAUGGAAGCAGCUCUUUACCUUGUAUAAUUCCAAAGAAGAAUAUUCGCACAACACAAUAUAAGCCACUCGCCCCCCCAUAUCAGGUAGGAGACGCUUUACCCGCGUGUAGAAAGCUGAAGGCAGGAAAUCUCUGCCCUAAAUUCUGUAGGAUAAAUAGUUAAACUGGGGGGUACAGUCACAUUGGGCUAAUGACACAGGAAUUAAUAUGAAUUGAUGCCAUUAGGCGCUGAAACACACAUUUGAGCUUUGAGAAUGAUCCCCCUAUGUGAUAGGACAGACAGGUAAACAAGUAAAUGUAUGAAUUCUGAACCUGAGAAAUCCCAGCACUAUAAAAUGGAGUGAGUCGGAAAUGGGAUGUAUAUAUAGAAGUUGGUCAGUCCGGCCUCAGGUUGAAUGCCUUUAAAGUAUGGGGGUCCGGGAGGUAUAGUGGGUCCUAGAGGGGCACUGACUGAUAAGCAAUUCCAUCAAAAAUGCCAAAAAGUUUAAGGGCCCCUAAACGCAUUUUGCCGUGGGGCCCCGUAUGUUGUAGUGGUCAGUGGUAAGGGGGCCUUGGGUUUUGGGCGGAUAGUCCCCGACUCACUGACUGUCUGGGUACCUGGAUCAAUUCUCUCAUCCCCCCCAUUACCCCAGUUAAAAGAUUUUCUCCCCCUGACUUGGUUGAUCCGCUCACUGCUGGUUUUGCAGGUUCCCGGGUCAGGUUAGAAACACACAACUUGCCGUUAGGGGUGGGGGCAGGGAAGGAGCCUAGCGGGUUCCCGGGUCAGGUUAGAAACACACAACUUGCCGUUAGAGGCGGGGACAGGGAAGGAGCCUAGCGGGUUCCUGGGUCAGGUUAGAAACACACAACUUGCCGUUAGGGGCGGGGACAGGGAAGGAGCCUAGCUGGUUCCUGGGUCAGGUUAGAAACACACAACUUGCCGUUAGGGGCGGGGGCAGGGAAGAAGCCUAGCGGGUUCCCGGGUCAGGUUAGAAACACACAACUUGCCGUUAGGGGUGGGGGCAGGGAAGGAGCCUAGCGGGUUCCCGGGUCAGGUUAGAAACACACAACUUGCCGUUAGGGGUGGGGGCAGGGAAGGAGCCUAGCGGGUUCCCGGGUCAGGUUAGAAACACACAACUUGCCGUUAGAGGCGGGGACAGGGAAGGAGCCUAGCGGGUUCCUGGGUCAGGUUAGAAACACACAACUUGCCGUUAGGGGCGGGGACAGGGAAGGAGCCUAGCUGGUUCCUGGGUCAGGUUAGAAACACACAACUUGCCGUUAGGGGCGGGGGCAGGGAAGAAGCCUAGCGGGUUCCUGGGUCAGGUUAGAAACACACAACUUGCCGUUAGGGGUGGGGGCAGGGAAGGAGCCUAGCGGGUUCCUGGGUCAGGUUAGAAACACACAACUUGCCGUUAGGGGCGGGGACAGGGAAGGAGCCUAGCGGGUUCCUGGGUCAGGUUAGAAACACACAACUUGCCGUUAGGGGCGGGGACAGGGAAGGAGCCUAGCGGGUUCCCGGGUCAGGUUAGAAACACACAACUUGCCGUUAGGGGCGGGGACAGGGAAGGAGCCUAGCGGGUUCCCGGGUCAGGUUAGAAACACACAACUUGCCGUUAGGGGCGGGGACAGGGAAGGAGCCUAGCGGGUUCCCGGGUCAGGUUAGAAACGCACAAUUUGCCGUUAGAUGCGGGGGCAGGAAAAGAGCCUAGCGGGUUCCCGGGUCAGGUUAGAAACGCACAAAUUGAUCAAUCACGUCUGAUCAGUGAUCUGAUUCACUAGGUGUGUAUACGAGUCAUUGGCUCAGGGAACGGUUACCUGAAUCAGUGCAAGUAGGCCGGGCUUUUCUAGGUGUCUCUCCUGACCCAACCUGGAGAUAACCUUGUGGGCAUAACGAGGAAAAAAAAUGUAUACAAAAUAGUAGAUUUUGAAAACAAUCUGUUUUCAGAACUAACUGUUGCCUUCUCAAGGCCUGUAUGGCUAUCCAUCAAAAAAAGGCUGUAAAUCCCACCAGAUGAGGUCCUCGUUGGGUGGUGCAUCGGCAAAGGCCCCACGUUAGGCAAUGAUUGCCAAAUAAAGCAGGAACAGUCUCACUGGUGAUUCCUACACUCGGAGGUCGGACCUACUCAGAAUUCCCACAAGGAGGAUCCCACUCACCAUCCGUGUUUGUACAAAGUCAUUGCUGGGAACACAGCAGAGAAUUGAGCCAAGCUUUAGCCACCAAUGGGAUAUGGCCUCCGUUAUUGUUCACUUUGAGGCUUCUCUUUCUCCAGUUCAUCCUAAAUGGAAGGGAAACAGGGGUUACCUCUUUCCUUGGGGUGUUGCGCUGCUCCCCAAAUAUCCCAGCAAGCUUUGCCACAGAUGGAACUGGGGUCUCCUCCGCUGAACCGACAUCCACUGGUUUCCCCUGCGGCACAAAUGGGAAUUCAUGCAAUCCAAUGGAUAUAUUAGGGCAUACAGUCACAGUGACAGAAUUGUGCCGUACACUACAAUGGAAUCACAGUAUUAUACAGGAUCGAUAUUGGUAAGUACCCAGUAGACUACAGCACAACAUAUUGGCAAUGAGAAAACCCCCUAAAAUUUCAAUGUUCAUGCAUUUCCCUAUAGGCUGAAGCUCACUCGCUGGGUCCUACAGUACACCCAGGGCACCAGAUCCCAACUAGACACUGUUUUCCCCCCACUCUGGGCUCUUGGAUAAUGGAAAUGUAUAUUGUUUUGCAGUAAAAUAGGCAUAAUGUUACAAUGGCAUCACAGUAUGUACAAUAUAGCACAGAUAUAUAGAUAUACAACAUAGAGUACAUAGGUAUAUGCAAUACAGAACAUAGCAUAGGUAUAUGCAGUACUAAUGGUGAACACUAUGAGCCUGGUAUAGUGCAAUACUGCAGAUAUACAGACCACCCAUAGGGAUGCCAUAGCUGUUGUUGAUCUGCAAGUCUCAGUAUCCAAGGCGAUACCGGGAGUUGCAAUUCAGCAAUAGCGCAAGGGCCAUAGCUUGGGCAGUUCUAUUCCUCCCUGUGCCUACAGGUAUCUGUUGUGGCUCCACUCACAGUGACUGAGAUCCCUCUGCGCUCUAAAGAUCCACCACCUGAAUGCGAAACGCAUGGGGCAGGAUCCCAGGUCCCUGGAGAUUAAAGGGAGGAUGUAACAGCUGUGUAAUGUGGGUCAGCAGCGAGCAUCCCUACUGUGGGAGACAAUAAGGAGGCGUCCCUAGGGAGGGGGAAAGCUCACUUCUAUUUAUAAGAGAUGCAGGACAUUCUAAAGCAAAGAGGAGACCUUCCCAAAGCUGAGGGUACAGUUAAGCUCCAAUCUGACAGUUGAGGUGGGUGGCAAGGGGACGAGAGCAAACAUAGCCCGGGAAUAAAUCUGAAAUCACAGUUAUAACCUCUCAAAGUGGUAUCAACACAGAGGAUCUAAUAAGCAGUCACGUGGUGUCUAAUAUAGAGUGACAUACCCAGCAUUCCUUCCCUGCUGUCAGCUAGCUGUGCUAUGUUUAAAGAGACAGCGCUUGGAUUCCAGAGACUGCCCCAUGAGGGAGUGGCAGAGGCAACGGGAUAGAACAGGAGGAGCUCGCUGCUUGGUUGUUGCUAAUGAUAAAUCAGCUGCUGCACCCCCCCCCCCCCCCCCUUAGCUAAUACAGAAUAUUAAAGCGGCAGUAUAUAUAUGUUCUUUGUCAUCUGAAAGUAAACCACAUUUCCAUUGCGUUGUGUUUUUCAUUUUAACCGUUCUUCUAAACCAUAAAGGAACAGUUCAGUGUAAAAAUGAAACUGGGUAAAAUAAAAAAUGUUUUCAAUAUAGUUA
Xenopus tropicalis (tropical clawed frog) is the source of this 3989-nucleotide long non-coding RNA. RefSeq lists it as uncharacterized. The record is from RefSeq and is a predicted model, not a curated record. Lineage: Eukaryota; Metazoa; Chordata; Amphibia; Anura; Pipidae. The transcript is spliced from 4 exons.